This 1165-nucleotide long non-coding RNA is filed under the name Homo sapiens (human). RNAcentral's name for it is "HSALNT0351789". Lineage: Eukaryota; Metazoa; Chordata; Mammalia; Primates; Hominidae. The record is from RNAcentral.
CCAGGGUCUGGUCCCUGACGACGCGCAGUGAGGGCCCCGCCGCUACCCCAGCAGUCGCCUCCCAAGUUCGCGGAACGCAGCUGACCGGCUCCCUCUGGACUGGGUGACAUGACUGCUCCCAAGCAGUCGUUUGUAAACUGAGUUUCUGUAAAACAAUUUUAUUUUUCAUAUGUGACUGUAGCGGGGUAUGAUUUGAACUUUGUUUUCCGUCCCCCAGCCCGGAUUCUCUGUCUUCUCCUGUACAGCCGUUCCGUUUUCUUACCUCGUCUCCGUCACCGAGGCCCUCAGCCCUGAACACAAGGACUGGGCAGUUUCCCUAUUGAUUCCUGAACCUGGAACUUAAGACAUCUUCCGAGGGGCCCCCCCUUGCCACACCCUCUAGCUGAUCGACUCACAAAUACCUGUGAUUUCUCUCCCCGUCUCCACCUCCAGUUUGUCUCUUCCAGAAUUGAAACUGUAAAACUACAAAUGGUUCUUCAAAUGGAGCCCCAGAUGCAGUCCAUGACUAAGAUCCACCACAGACCCCUGGACCAGCCUGCUAGCCCAUGCUCCGAUGUUAAUGACAUCGAAGGCACCCCCCCCGAGGAAAUCUCAACUGUGCAACCCCUACUAUGCCCCAAUUCAGCAGGAAGCAGUUACAGCGGUCAUCAGCCAACCUCCCCAACAGCACUUGGGUUUUCCUGUUGAGAGGGGGCACUGAGAGACAAGACUAGCUGGAUUUCCUAGGCCGACUAAGAAUCCCUAAGCGUAGCUGGGAAGGUGACUGCAUCCACCUUUAAACAUGGGGCUUGCCACUUAGCUCACACCCAACCAAUCAGAGAGCUCACUAAAAUGCUAAUUAGGCAAAAACAGGAGGUAAAGAAAUAGCCAAUCACCUUUUGCCUGAGAGCACAGCAGGAGGGACAAGGAUCGGGAUAUAAACCCGGGCAUUCAAGCCGGCAAUGGCAACCCCCUUUGGGUCCCCUCCCUUUGUAUGGGAGCUCUGUUUUCACUCUAUUAAAUCUUGCAACUGCACUCUUCUGGUCCAUGUUUGUUACGGCUCGAGCUGAGCUUUCGCUCCCCGUCCACCACUGCUGUUUGCCACUGUCGCAGACCUGCCGCUGACUCCCAUCCUGCUGCUGACUCCCAUCCCUCCAGAUCCGGCAGGGUGUCUGCUGUGCUCCUG